Molecule: non-coding RNA, 722 nt
Organism: Kogia breviceps (pygmy sperm whale)
Lineage: Eukaryota; Metazoa; Chordata; Mammalia; Artiodactyla; Physeteridae
Source: RefSeq, a predicted model, not a curated record
AUAUAUUCAGCCAUUUAAGUCCAUCAACCUCCAGGCUAUAAAAGAAAGAGCUAAAGAUUCUUUAAGAAGAUUGGCAGAGAAGACCCGUGGGCAAAGAGAUGUCAGAGGACUGAGCUUCCUCCUCUCAGAAGGGGUCCUGUGUCUCCCUCACCCACUCCAAGAGUGGGCAGGUCCAGCUUCCACAGAGAGCUUGGCCUGAGCCCCUGAAGCCUAGGGGACACACUGACAGAAGGGACCUUGGGAAUAGAGCAGGGCUUGCGGCAUCUAGAGGGAACCCCAUCCAAGAGCUCCAUCUGCCUGGGCUGGGAGACCUCAACAGAAAGGCCCUGUGCCAGGGGCACUGCCAGAAGCACAGCAGAGGAUGGCGCCAGACAAAGGCACAGUAGGAGGGUCCCUCACGGGGGAGAUGCUCCAAGUAGCCCAGAUGUGCCCCACAUCACAUGGGCAUCUGCUCAGCCAGAGGGCACCAGCCCAAACCGCAAACUGAGCCUACUUUAGGGACUUCCCUGGUGGUCCAGUGGUUAAGAAUCCGUCUUCCAAUGCGCAGGACGCAGGUUCGAUCCCUGGUUGGGUAACUAAGAUCCCACAUGCCACGGGGCAACGAAGCCGGCGCGCUGCAACUAGAGAGAAGCCCGCGCACCGUGAGGAAGAGCCCGCAUGCUGCAACUAAGACCCUACACAGCCAAAAAUAAAGUAAAUAAAUAAAUAGAUAAAUGUUUUUU